AAUGGAUGUCUCAGCUGCUAAAGCCUUUUAACUCCCAAGUCUGACCACCUGAGUCCCAUUGAUGGAACCCACAUGAUAGAAGGAGACAACCAGAGAAACUGCACCCUCAAGACUUCACGGAGCCCACACAUGCUCACAAUGGAGAUGGUUGCUUGUGGCGUGGGUGCCACAAUUGGAGGUCCCACUGAGAUCCACAGAGACUUGGCAAGACUGGGAAAGUUUGGCCAGAAAGAAGACUCAGGAGAGAAGAGACUUGAGAAAGAAAAGAAUUAAAAACAGACUAGCAUGGUUUGAUGAAGCAAGACCUCCAGAAGCAGUGGCC
Mesocricetus auratus (golden hamster) is the source of this 322-nucleotide long non-coding RNA. RefSeq lists it as uncharacterized. The transcript has 3 exons. The record is from RefSeq and is a predicted model, not a curated record. Lineage: Eukaryota; Metazoa; Chordata; Mammalia; Rodentia; Cricetidae.